This 393-nucleotide ribosomal RNA is filed under the name uncultured bacterium. RNAcentral describes it as "bacterial SSU rRNA". It matches the Rfam family "Bacterial small subunit ribosomal RNA", at positions 527 to 896 of the family's 1533-position model. The record is from RNAcentral.
GUAGGGUGCAAGCGUUGUCCGGAAUUACUGGGUGUAAAGGGUCCGCAGGCGGGUAAGCAAGUCGGUGGUGAAAUCCUGCAGCUCAACUGCAGAACUGCCUCUGAUACUGUUUAUCUUGAGUACGAGAGAGGAUGAUGGAAUUCAUGGUGUAGCGGUGAAAUGCGUAGAGAUCAUGAAGAACACCGGUUGCGAAGGCGAUCAUCUGGCUCGUUACUGACGCUCAGGGACGAAAGCGUGGGGAGCAAACAGGAUUAGAUACCCUGGUAGUCCACGCCUUAAACGAUGGAUGUUCGGUGUCGGUCCCGUUCAGCAUAUAUUAAUAUGUGUUGAACGGGAUCGGUGCCUGAGCUAACGCGUUAAACAUCCCACCUGGGGAGUACGAUCGCAAGGUUG